This 144-nucleotide unclassified non-coding RNA is filed under the name uncultured Chlorencoelia. RNAcentral describes it as "sequence contains ITS2". Lineage: Eukaryota; Fungi; Ascomycota; Leotiomycetes; Helotiales; Helotiaceae. The record is from RNAcentral.
CAACCCUCAAGCUCUGCUUGGUAUUGGGCCCUGCUGGCAACGGCAGGCCUUAAAAACAGUGGCGGUGCCUUUAGGUCCUGAGCGUAGUACAUUUCUCGCUAUAGGUCCCUGAGGGUUACUGGCCAGCAACCCCAAAUUUUUCUA